AGUGAACGCUGGCGGUAGGCCUAACACAUGCAAGUCGAACGGCAGCACAGUAAGAGCUUGCUCUUACGGGUGGCGAGUGGCGGACGGGUGAGGAAUACAUCGGAAUCUACUUUUUCGUGGGGGAUAACGUAGGGAAACUUACGCUAAUACCGCAUACGACCUACGGGUGAAAGCAGGGGAUCUUCGGACCUUGCGCGAUUGAAUGAGCCGAUGUCGGAUUAGCUAGUUGGCGGGGUAAAGGCCCACCAAGGCGACGAUCCGUAGCUGGUCUGAGAGGAUGAGCAGCCACACUGAAACAGAGACACGGUCCAGACUCCUACGGGAGGCAGCAGUGGGGAAUUUUGGACAAUGGGCACAAGCCUGAUCCAGCCAUACCGCGUGGGUGAAGAAGGCCUUCGGGUUGUAAAGCCCUUUUGUUGGGAAAGAAAAGCAGCAGGUUAAUACCCCGCUGUUCUGACGGUACCCAAAGAAUAAGCACCGGCUAACUUCGUG
This 492-nucleotide ribosomal RNA is filed under the name uncultured bacterium. Its description in RNAcentral is "partial 16S ribosomal RNA". It matches the Rfam family "Bacterial small subunit ribosomal RNA", at positions 29 to 507 of the family's 1533-position model. The record is from RNAcentral.